AUACUCUGGUUUCGCUUCAGAUUGUAUAAAUCUUUUGCCUUUUGCUAAAGAUUUCCAUAGAGAGGAACAUUUAAAUAAAAAUAAGUAAAAAAAGAAUAG
Molecule: small nuclear RNA, 99 nt
Filed under: Pongo abelii (Sumatran orangutan)
Lineage: Eukaryota; Metazoa; Chordata; Mammalia; Primates; Hominidae
Description: U5 spliceosomal RNA (ENSPPYG00000028134.2)
Rfam family: U5 spliceosomal RNA (bases 7-74)
About the family: U5 RNA is a component of both types of known spliceosome. The precise function of this molecule is unknown, though it is known that the 5' loop is required for splice site selection and p220 binding, and that both the 3' stem-loop and the Sm site are important for Sm protein binding and cap methylation.
Source: RNAcentral